GGUGAAAAUGAUGAAUUCUGGGGUACUGAUUCAUGUGAUCUGAAAAAGCCAUCCAUUUCCUGAUUCACC
Small nucleolar RNA from Accipiter nisus (Eurasian sparrowhawk), 69 nucleotides. Ensembl annotates it as small nucleolar RNA, C/D box 123. The record is from Ensembl. Lineage: Eukaryota; Metazoa; Chordata; Aves; Accipitriformes; Accipitridae.